Molecule: RNase P RNA, 204 nt
Filed under: Deltaproteobacteria bacterium
Lineage: Bacteria; Pseudomonadati; Myxococcota; Myxococcia
Description: partial RNase P RNA component class A
Rfam family: Bacterial RNase P class A
About the family: Ribonuclease P (RNase P) is a ubiquitous endoribonuclease, found in archaea, bacteria and eukarya as well as chloroplasts and mitochondria. Its best characterised activity is the generation of mature 5'-ends of tRNAs by cleaving the 5'-leader elements of precursor-tRNAs.
Source: RNAcentral
GGAGUUAGAUACGUGAUCGCUGGUGGCGAGGGAAUCGAUCAUGAUUCUCGAGUUGCGAGAGGAAAGUCCGGGCAGCACAGGGCAGGAUGCUGGCUAACGGCCAGGCGGCGUGAGCCGACGGAAAGUGCCACAGAGAAUAGACCGCCGAUGGCUUCGGCACAGGCAAGGGUGAAACGGGGAGGUAAGAGCUCACCGCGGGGCUGG